AAUCAACGCUGGCGGCGUGCCUCAGACAUGCAAGUCGAACGCGAAAGUCCCCUUCGGGGGACAAGUAGAGUGGCGCACGGGUGAGUAACACGUAGGUAAUCUACCUUCGGAUGGGGAAUAACAAUCGGAAACGGUUGCUAAUACCGCAUAAUGCAGCGGCACCUAAUGGUGACAGUUGUUAAAGCGGGGGAUCGAAAGACCUCGCGUCUGAAGAGGAGCCUGCGGCGGAUUAGCAGUUGGUAAGGUAAUGGCUUACCAAGGCGACGAUCCGUAACCGGCCUGAGAGGGCGGUCGGUCACACUGACACUGACAUACGGGUCAGACUCCUACGGGAGGCAGCAGUCGGGAAUUUUGGGCAAUGGGCGAAAGCCUGACCCAGCAACGCCGCGUGAAGGAUGAAAU
This 402-nucleotide ribosomal RNA is filed under the name uncultured bacterium. RNAcentral's name for it is "bacterial SSU rRNA". It matches the Rfam family "Bacterial small subunit ribosomal RNA", at positions 32 to 414 of the family's 1533-position model. The record is from RNAcentral.